Molecule: ribosomal RNA, 700 nt
Filed under: Hypoclinemus sp. GO328
Lineage: Eukaryota; Metazoa; Chordata; Actinopteri; Pleuronectiformes; Achiridae
Description: partial 16S ribosomal RNA
Rfam family: Bacterial large subunit ribosomal RNA (bases 1-460)
Source: RNAcentral
UUACUCUUGUACCUUUUGCAUCAUGAUUUAGCUAGCACUAUCCAAGCAAAAAGAAUUUUAGUUUGAUACCCCGAAACCGAGCGAGCUACUCCAGGACAGCCUAUUAACAGGGCACACCCAUCUCUGUGGCAAAAGAGUGGGAAGAGCCUCGAGUAGAGGUGACAGACCUACCGAGCUCGGCCAUAGCUGGUUGCCUGAGAACUGGAUAGAAGUUCAGCCUCCCGAAUUCUCCCCAAUCCGAGAGAGUUAGUCAAAAGGGGGACAGCCCUUUUGACAUAAGAUACAACUUUACUAGGUGGGUAUUGAUCAUAAUUUAUCAAGGGGAAAUAAUCCAAGUGGGCCUAAAAGCAGCCACCUCUAUAGAAAGCGUCCAAGCUCAAACACUUAAUCCCGAUAACCCUUCACAGCCCCCUAAAAAUAUCAGGCCCUUUCGUGCCCCCACAAAAGAGACUAUGCUACUACGAGUAAUAAGAGAACCUUCUCUCCCAGCACACAUGUAAAUCGGAUCGGACCCCCCACCGAAACUUAACGGCCCCAAACAAAGAGGGCAAUAAAAUCUUAAAACUAGAAAACCACUUACCGUUAACCCCACACUGGAGUGCCCCCAGGGAAAGACUAUAAGAAAGAAAAGGAACUCGGCAAACAAGCCUCGCCUGUUUACCAAAAACAUCGCCUCUUGCAAGAAUAAGAGGUCCCGCCU